Molecule: ribosomal RNA, 177 nt
Filed under: Triticum aestivum (bread wheat)
Lineage: Eukaryota; Viridiplantae; Streptophyta; Magnoliopsida; Poales; Poaceae
Description: partial small subunit ribosomal RNA
Source: RNAcentral
AUGAGGGUGCUGGGCAGGCACGUCUCCCCGAGGCAGAUCGCGCUGCUCGCCGCAGGGCUGGUGUUCUUUGGGGCGACGACGUACGACGUGCACCGCUCCAUCAAGAACAACGACCAGCCCCCGACCAGGGAGCAGGUGGCGGCGCUGCAGGACUUCAUCGACUCCAGGAAGCGCUAA